GUGCCAGCAGCCGCGGUAAUACGUGUGGUGCAACCGUUGUCCGGAAUUACUGGGCGUAAAGAGUACGUAGUUGGUUUAAGUAGUCUCCAAUUAAAGACCAAGGCCUAACCCUUGGGAGUGUUGAAGAACCCAUUAAACUUGAGGAUCGCAGGGGCUAGCGGACCGAUCGGUGUAGGAGUGGAAUCCGUUGAUAUCGAUCGGAACACCAAAGGCGAAGGCAGCUAGCUAGGCGAAUCCUGACACUGAGGUACGAAAGCGUGGGUAGCGAAUGGGAUUAGAUACCCCAGUAGUCCACGCCGUAAACUAUGCAGACUCGAGCUUGGGGAGAAUCGACCCUCCUUUGGCUCAAAGCAAACGCGUAAGUCUGCCGCCUGGGGAGUACGAGCGCAAGCUUAAAACUCAAUGGAAUUGGCGGGGAGACGCACAAGCGGUGGAGCGUGUGGUUUAAUUCGAUACUAAGCGAAGAACCUCACCCACUCUUGACAUCCUAGGGAUCCUCUGGAGACAGAGGAGUGCCGCAAGGAACCUAGUGACAGGUGAUGCACGGUCGUCGUCAGCUCGUGCCGUGAGGUGUUCGGUUAAGUCCGUUAACGAGCGCAACCCUUACCCUUAGUUGUAUUCUCUAAGGGGACUGCCCUGGUAACGGGGAGGAAGGUAGGGAUGACGUCAGAUCAGCGUGUCUCUUACGAGUGGGGCGACACACGCGCUACAAUGGCCAGUACAAUGGGCAGCCAAACCGUGAGGUGGAGCUAAUCUCAUCAAAGCUGGUCCAAGUUCGGAUUGAAGGCUGAAACUCGCCUUCAUGAAGCUGGAAUCGCUAGUAACGGCCGGUCAGCCAUACGGCCGUGAAUACGUUCUCGUCUCUUGCACACACCGCCCGUCACACCACGAAAGCCGGAGGUACCCGAGUUUUCAUUUUUUAAUGGAAUUACGGUAAAUUCGGUGAUCAGGGUGAAGUCGUAACAAGGUAGCC
RNAcentral lists this ribosomal RNA (973 nucleotides) under uncultured bacterium. RNAcentral's name for it is "bacterial SSU rRNA". It matches the Rfam family "Bacterial small subunit ribosomal RNA", at positions 505 to 1501 of the family's 1533-position model. The record is from RNAcentral.